UACGUAGGUGACCAGCGUUGUCCGGAUUUAUUGGGCGUAAAGAGCUCGUAGGCGGUCUGUCGCGUCGAAUGUGAAAACCCGGGGCUCAACUCCGGGCUUGCAUUCGAUACGGGCAGGCUAGAGUUCGGUAGGGGAGUCUGGAAUUCCUGGUGUAGCGGUGAAAUGCGCAGAUAUCAGGAGGAACACCGGUGGCGAAGGCGGGACUCUGGGCCGAUACUGACGCUGAGGAGCGAAAGCGUGGGGAGCGAACAGG
RNAcentral lists this ribosomal RNA (253 nucleotides) under uncultured bacterium. RNAcentral describes it as "partial 16S ribosomal RNA". It matches the Rfam family "Bacterial small subunit ribosomal RNA", at positions 524 to 776 of the family's 1533-position model. The record is from RNAcentral.